UCUCACCCAGUGGGAUCAAACUGGUUGUGUUGGGUGGAAGGAUGGGGUGGUGCCUUAAUGGGGGUCAGAUGGACACGGUGAUGGUCAUUGGACCAUGAGGUCCAUGUCCACCUCGGAUGGUGGAACCACCAGGAACAGGAACCACAAUUUCUCACCCAGUGGAAUCAAACUGGCUGUGGUGGGUGAAGGAUGGGGUGGUGGAUGAAGGGGGGACAGAUGGACACGGUGAUGGUCAUGGGACCAUGAGGUCCACCUCAGAUGGUGGGACCACCAGGGACAGGAACCACAAGUUCUCACCCAGUGGAAUCAAACUGGUUGUGGUGGGUGAAGGAUGGGGUGGUGAGUGAGUGGGGGUCAGAUGGACACGGUGAUGGUCAUGGGACCAUGAGAUCCAUGUCCACCUCGGAUGGUGGAACCACCAGGGACAGGAACCACAAGAUCUCACCCAGUGGGAUCAAACUGGUUGUGGUGGGUGAAGGAUGGGGCAGGAGUCCAAGAGGACCAGAUGGACACAGGGAGACACAGACGGACACGGUGGGACCACGUGGUCCUGCAGGAUGGUGGCACCACGUGA
Poecile atricapillus (Black-capped chickadee) is the source of this 574-nucleotide long non-coding RNA. RefSeq lists it as uncharacterized. The record is from RefSeq and is a predicted model, not a curated record. The transcript is spliced from 3 exons. NCBI's taxonomy places the organism in Eukaryota, Metazoa, Chordata, Aves, Passeriformes, Paridae.